Molecule: ribosomal RNA, 405 nt
Filed under: uncultured bacterium
Lineage: Bacteria
Description: partial 16S ribosomal RNA
Rfam family: Bacterial small subunit ribosomal RNA
Source: RNAcentral
GAUGAACGCUGGCGGCGUGCCUAAUACAUGCAAGUCGAGCGAAGCGGGGACGGGGGAGUAACACGUGGAUAACCUCCUAUAUGCCCGGGAUAACUUCGGGAAACCGGAGCUAAAACGGAUACUUAUCCAUGGAUCCACGCUGCAUUAGCUAGUUGGUAAGGUAACGGCUUACCAAGGAAACGAUGCAUAGCCGACCUGAGAGGGUGACCGGCAACACUGGAACUGAGACACGGUCAAGACUCCUACGGGAGGCAGCAGUAGGGAAUCUGCCGAAAUGGGCGAAAGCAUGACGUAGCCACGCCGCGUGAGUGACGAAGGUCUUCGGAUCGUAAAACGCUUUAACUAGGGAAGCGGUACCUAAUCAGAAAGCCACGGCUAACUACGUGCCAGCCGCCGCGGUAAUAC